AUGAGUCAGUGGAAGAUGGGAAUAAGAAGAGAAGGACACGACGAAGUUCUUGCGAAAUCAAUCUUCGUGGCGGUUCGCACCUCGAGCCUCGUCGGGUGUCUCCUUUUUUAUAAAUGGCAGGA
Caenorhabditis elegans is the source of this 122-nucleotide non-coding RNA. NCBI's taxonomy places the organism in Eukaryota, Metazoa, Nematoda, Chromadorea, Rhabditida, Rhabditidae. The record is from Ensembl.